GACGAACGCUGGCGGCGUGCCUAAUACAUGCAAGUAGAGCGCUGAAGGAGGAGCUUGCUUCUCUGGAUGAGUUGCGAACGGGUGAGUAACGCGUAGGUAACCUGCCUGGUAGCGGGGGUUAACUAUUGGAAACGAUAGCUAAUACCGCAUAAGAGUAGAUGUCGCAUGUCAUUUGCUUAAAAGUUGCAAUUGUAUCACUACCAGAUGGACCUGCGUUGUAUUAGCUAGUUGGUGAGGUAACGGCUCACCCAGGCAUCGAUACAUAGCCGACCUGAGAGGGGGAUCGGCCCAACUGGGACUGAGAAACGGCCCAGACUCCUACGGGAGGCAGCAGUAGGGGAUCUUCGGCAAUGGACGGAAGUCUAACCGAGCAACGCCGCGUGAGUGGAGAAGGUUCUCGGAUCGUAAAGCUCGGUUGUAAGGGAAGAAAGAGGGUAGGAGUGGAAAGUGCACACUGUGACGGUAGCUUACCAGAAAGGGACGGCUAACUACGUG
This 495-nucleotide ribosomal RNA is filed under the name uncultured bacterium. Its description in RNAcentral is "partial 16S ribosomal RNA". It matches the Rfam family "Bacterial small subunit ribosomal RNA", at positions 28 to 507 of the family's 1533-position model. The record is from RNAcentral.